RNAcentral lists this ribosomal RNA (480 nucleotides) under uncultured bacterium. RNAcentral's name for it is "bacterial SSU rRNA". It matches the Rfam family "Bacterial small subunit ribosomal RNA", at positions 8 to 518 of the family's 1533-position model. The record is from RNAcentral.
AGAGUUUGAUCAUGGCUCAGGAUGAAUGCUGGCGGCAUGCCUAAUACAUGCAAGUCGAGCGGUAACAUGAAUAGCUUGCUAUUGAUGACGAGCGGCGGACGGCUGAGUAACGCGUGGGAACGGACCCAAACUGAGGGAUAACGCACCGAAAGGUGUGCUAAUACCGCAUGUGAUCUUCGGAUUAAAGGAUUUAUCCGGUUUGGGACUGGCCUGCGUACGAUUAGAUAGUUGGUGAGGUAAUGGCUCACCAAGUCGACGAUCGUUAGAUGGUUUGAGAGGAUGAUCAUCCAGACUGGGACUGAGACACGGCCCAGACUCCUACGGGAGGCAGCAGUAGGGAAUCUUUCACAAUGGGCGAAAGCCUGAUGGAGCAAUGCCGCGUGCAGGACGAAGGCCUUCGGGUUGUAAACUGCUUUUAUAAGCGAGGAAUAUGACGGUAACUUAUGAAUAAGGAUCGGCUAACUACGUGCCAGCCGCCGC